Molecule: non-coding RNA, 148 nt
Filed under: Nomascus leucogenys (northern white-cheeked gibbon)
Lineage: Eukaryota; Metazoa; Chordata; Mammalia; Primates; Hylobatidae
Source: Rfam by way of RNAcentral
GCCAGGCAUGGUGGCGUGUGCCUGUAAUCCCAGCUACUCAGGAGGCUGAGGCAGGAGAAUCGCUUGAACCUAGGAGGCAGAGGUUGCAGUGAGCCAAGAUCGUGCCACUGCACUCCAGCCUAGGUGACAGAGCGAGACUCCAUCUCAA